RNAcentral lists this ribosomal RNA (137 nucleotides) under Salmonella enterica subsp. enterica serovar Infantis. RNAcentral describes it as "partial 23S ribosomal RNA". It matches the Rfam family "Bacterial large subunit ribosomal RNA", at positions 1 to 136 of the family's 2925-position model. RNAcentral also lists the same sequence under 31 other names. The record is from RNAcentral. Lineage: Bacteria; Pseudomonadati; Pseudomonadota; Gammaproteobacteria; Enterobacterales; Enterobacteriaceae.
GGUUAAGCGACUAAGCGUACACGGUGGAUGCCCUGGCAGUCAGAGGCGAUGAAGGACGUGCUAAUCUGCGAUAAGCGCCGGUAAGGUGAUAUGAACCGUUAUAACCGGCGAUUUCCGAAUGGGGAAACCCAGUGUGA